Long non-coding RNA from Saccostrea cuccullata (small rock oyster), 1176 nucleotides. RefSeq lists it as uncharacterized. The transcript has 4 exons. The record is from RefSeq and is a predicted model, not a curated record. NCBI's taxonomy places the organism in Eukaryota, Metazoa, Mollusca, Bivalvia, Ostreida, Ostreidae.
ACUUGACGUGGUAGAAACAGCAGAAGCACUCCACUUGAUUUGGUGGAAACAGCAGUCCAACAGGAUAUGGUGUAAACAGCAGAUGUACCCUACUGGCCAUUGUGGAGACAGCAAAUGGACCCAACACGACAUGGUGGAAACAGCAGAUGUGCCAACUGGACUUGGUGGAUACAGAAGAUGGACCAAACAGGACAUGUUGGAAACAGCAGAUGUACCCUACUGGCCAUGGUGGAGACAGCACAUGGACCCAACAGGACCUGGUGGAAACAGCAGAUGCACCAACUGGACUUGGUGGAUACAGAAGAUGGGCCAACAGGACAUGGUGGAUACAACUGGAGGAGACUUGCCUGAUGAUGUUGACCUUCCAAACAAGACAUAUCAGAGGAGAUAACUGACAUUGAUCAGCUCUACUGGUCAGAGACAAAAAAGCUUAUGAUAGUAAACAAGGGCAUGACAUGGUGGAAACAGCUGGAGGAGGCAGGGCCAAUGGAUGCUAAUCUUUCAAGAUGUGGCAACAGCAGAUGUCCUCAACAAGACAUGUGUAACAGCAGAUGCACCCAACCGGACACUGAUUGAUAGAAACAACUGGAUGAUGCAAAGUCAGUACAUGCUGAUCUACCAAGAUGUAGAAACAGCAAAUGCACCCAACAGUACAUGGUGAAAACAGUAGAUAAACCCAAAAGAACCUGAUAGAAACAACUGGAGGAUGAAUAGCCAAAGGAUGCUGAUCUGACAUUUAUCAGCUGCAGCCAACAUGCAAAACUUUGUGGAAACAACUGGAAUAGACAAGCUUGAUGAACCUCUUUUAAGAUGGGAAAACAGCAAAUACCUCCAAAAGGACUUAGUGAAAUAAAUCUUGAGCAGGCAAGGCCAUUAUGAAUCUUGAGGCAAACUUGAUAGACAAUGAUUUUCCAAUAUGUGAAAACACCAGCUACACCCAAAAGGAAUUGGUGGAAACAAUUAACACAGACAAGCCUGAUGGACAAUGAUAUUCAACAUGUGGAAACAGCAGAUGUUCCCAACAAGACAUGGUGGAAACACCUGAAGAUGAUGCCUGAUGGAUGUUGACUUUUCUUCCAAGAAAUACCACAGUUGAUAGCUGACACUGAUCAGAAAAUCAAAGAAAAUUUUAGAAGGAACAUCCUUGAGAUCAUGUGUGUGGAUGAAGAAGCAGGA